RNAcentral lists this transfer RNA (77 nucleotides) under Vibrio ostreae. Its description in RNAcentral is "Vibrio sp. OG9-811 tRNA-Asp". It matches the Rfam family "tRNA". From Rfam's summary of the family: Transfer RNA (tRNA) molecules are approximately 80 nucleotides in length. Their secondary structure includes four short double-helical elements and three loops (D, anti-codon, and T loops). Further hydrogen bonds mediate the characteristic L-shaped molecular structure. tRNAs have two regions of fundamental functional importance: the anti-codon, which is responsible for specific mRNA codon recognition, and the 3' end, to which the tRNAs corresponding amino acid is attached (by aminoacyl-tRNA synthetases). tRNAs cope with the degeneracy of the genetic code in two manners: having more than one tRNA (with a specific anti-codon) for a particular amino acid; and 'wobble' base-pairing, i.e. permitting non-standard base-pairing at the 3rd anti-codon position. Lineage: Bacteria; Pseudomonadati; Pseudomonadota; Gammaproteobacteria; Vibrionales; Vibrionaceae. The record is from RNAcentral.
GGAGCAGUAGUUCAGUUGGUUGGAAUACCGGCCUGUCACGCCGGGGUCGCGGAGUUCGAGUCCCGUCCGCUCCGCCA